RNAcentral lists this ribosomal RNA (317 nucleotides) under uncultured bacterium. RNAcentral's name for it is "bacterial SSU rRNA". It matches the Rfam family "Bacterial small subunit ribosomal RNA", at positions 28 to 325 of the family's 1533-position model. The record is from RNAcentral.
GAUGAACGCUGGCGGCGUGCCUAACACAUGCAAGUCGAACGGAGUUCUUAAGGAAUGCGGCUUCGGCUAAAUGACUUUUGAACUUAGUGGCGGACGGGUGAGUAACGCGUGGGUAACCUGCCCCAGACCGGGGGAUAACAGUCGGAAACGACUGCUAAUACCGCAUAAGCGCACAGUGCCGCAUGGCACGGUGUGAAAAACUCCGGUGGUCUGGGAUGGACCCGCGUCCGAUUAGUUAGUUGGUGGGGUAACGGCCCACCAAGACUGCGAUCGGUAGCCGACCUGAGAGGGUGACCGGCCACAUUGGGACUGGAGAC